UUUAACUGAAGAGUUUGAUCAUGGCUCAGAUUGAACGCUGGCGGCAGGCUUAACACAUGCAAGUCGAGCGGGGGAAGGUAGCUUGCUACUGGACCUAGCGGCGGACGGGUGAGUAAUGCUUAGGAAUCUGCCUAUUAGUGGGGGACAACAUCUCGAAAGGGAUGCUAAUACCGCAUACGUCCUACGGGAGAAAGCAGGGGAUCUUCGGACCUUGCGCUAAUAGAUGAGCCUAAGUCGGAUUAGCUAGUUGGUGGGGUAAAGGCCUACCAAGGCGACGAUCUGUAGCGGGUCUGAGAGGAUGAUCCGCCACACUGGGACUGAGACACGGCCCAGACUCCUACGGGAGGCAGCAGUGGGGAAUAUUGGACAAUGGGGGGAACCCUGAUCCAGCCAUGCCGCGUGUGUGAAGAAGGCCUUAUGGUUGUAAAGCACUUUAAGCGAGGAGGAGGCUACUUUAGUUAAUACCUAGAGAUAGUGGACGUUACUCGCAGAAUAAGCACCGGCUAACUCUGUGCCAGCAGCCGCGGUAAUACAGAGGGUGCGAGCGUUAAUCGGAUUUACUGGGCGUAAAGCGUGCGUAGGCGGCUUAUUAAGUCGGAUGUGAAAUCCCCGAGCUUAACUUGGGAAUUGCAUUCGAUACUGGUGAGCUAGAGUAUGGGAGAGGAUGGUAGAAUUCCAGGUGUAGCGGUGAAAUGCGUAGAGAUCUGGAGGAAUACCGAUGGCGAAGGCAGCCAUCUGGCCUAAUACUGACGCUGAGGUACGAAAGCAUGGGGAGCAAACAGGAUUAGAUACCCUGGUAGUCCAUGCCGUAAACGAUGUCUACUAGCCGUUGGGGCCUUUGAGGCUUUAGUGGCGCAGCUAACGCGAUAAGUAGACCGCCUGGGGAGUACGGUCGCAAGACUAAAACUCAAAUGAAUUGACGGGGGCCCGCACAAGCGGUGGAGCAUGUGGUUUAAUUCGAUGCAACGCGAAGAACCUUACCUGGCCUUGACAUACUAGAAACUUUCCAGAGAUGGAUUGGUGCCUUCGGGAAUCUAGAUACAGGUGCUGCAUGGCUGUCGUCAGCUCGUGUCGUGAGAUGUUGGGUUAAGUCCCGCAACGAGCGCAACCCUUUUCCUUACUUGCCAGCAUU
This 1132-nucleotide ribosomal RNA is filed under the name Acinetobacter baumannii. RNAcentral's name for it is "bacterial SSU rRNA". It matches the Rfam family "Bacterial small subunit ribosomal RNA", at positions 1 to 1125 of the family's 1533-position model. The record is from RNAcentral. Lineage: Bacteria; Pseudomonadati; Pseudomonadota; Gammaproteobacteria; Moraxellales; Moraxellaceae.